Molecule: ribosomal RNA, 708 nt
Filed under: uncultured fungus
Lineage: Eukaryota; Fungi
Description: eukaryotic LSU rRNA
Rfam family: 5.8S ribosomal RNA (bases 299-452)
Source: RNAcentral
AAGUCGUAACAAGGUUUCCGUAGGUGAACCUGCGGAAGGAUCAUUAUUGAAUACGUUUGGUUCUGAUGCUGGCUCUUCACUGAGCAUGUGCUCGAUCCAUAACUAUUUAUCUUCUCUUGUGCACCUUUUGUAGUCUUUCAAAGAAGUGAUAACUCCUCGCAGUAAUGCGGUUUGGGGGACUUGGGCGUGAGCCCUUCCCCUGCUUUUGCUUUUUUCGAAGGGCUAUGUUUUCAUAUACACUAUAAAGUUACGGAAUGUCUUUUAAAGAUUGUGCUAGUCGCAGUCAUUAAACCUAUACAACUUUCAGCAACGGAUCUCUUGGCUCUCCCAUCGAUGAAGAACGCAGCGAAAUGCGAUAAGUAAUGUGAAUUGCAGAAUUCAGUGAAUCAUCGAAUCUUUGAACGCACCUUGCGCCCUUUGGUAUUCCGAAGGGCAUGCCUGUUUGAGUGUCAUUAAAUUCUCAACCCAAAAAGCUUUUACUAGCUCUUUUGUGGCUUGGAUGUGGGGGUUUUUGCUGGCUUCCUUCAGUGGAUGGUCUGCUCCCCUUAAAUACAUUAGUGGGAUCUCUUGUGGACCGUCACUUGGUGUGAUAAUUAUCUAUGCCAGUUGACUUUGAAGCAAAACUUAUGGGAACCCGCUCAUAACCGUCUUCGGACAACUUAUUGACAUUUUGACCUCAAAUCAGGUAGGACUACCCGCUGAACUUAA